Amphiprion ocellaris (clown anemonefish) is the source of this 457-nucleotide long non-coding RNA. Lineage: Eukaryota; Metazoa; Chordata; Actinopteri; Pomacentridae. The record is from Ensembl.
CUUGCUAUCUGCACACUGAGCUCAAUAUGGUCUUCCAGUGAUGAUCGUGACAUUUUCAAAGUUAACGUGUUUAUCUCUGCUCCAGAGCAGGUUUGGUCUUCAGCAUAAUGUACCGCCAUCGUAGCCUUAAAAAUCCAGGAUUGAACCUGAUGUUACCUCGCUAACCCCAAAUCUUGCUUCACUGAACAGGCCUCAGUUUGCACUGGCAGGGAAGUCUUUUAGACCAAAUAAUACACCAAAGCAUUCAACACCAACCAAACUUCAGCUGUGAUGACACCAAAAUCAAGAUGAGAUUUUCAAUGGGACUCAUGUCUGGGGAUUGAGCUGGCCACUCUAAGACCGAGAUAUUGGGCUCCUCCACUCAUGCAUCCCUAAACCAUGAUACUGCCUCCACCAUGCUUGACAGUAGGUACUGUACAUGCGGAGAUAAUGCUUCGCCUGGCCUUCUGCAUACCCU